Molecule: transfer RNA, 84 nt
Filed under: Elsinoe ampelina
Lineage: Eukaryota; Fungi; Ascomycota; Dothideomycetes; Myriangiales; Elsinoaceae
Also listed under: 1 other name
Description: tRNA-Lys
Rfam family: tRNA
About the family: Transfer RNA (tRNA) molecules are approximately 80 nucleotides in length. Their secondary structure includes four short double-helical elements and three loops (D, anti-codon, and T loops). Further hydrogen bonds mediate the characteristic L-shaped molecular structure. tRNAs have two regions of fundamental functional importance: the anti-codon, which is responsible for specific mRNA codon recognition, and the 3' end, to which the tRNAs corresponding amino acid is attached (by aminoacyl-tRNA synthetases). tRNAs cope with the degeneracy of the genetic code in two manners: having more than one tRNA (with a specific anti-codon) for a particular amino acid; and 'wobble' base-pairing, i.e. permitting non-standard base-pairing at the 3rd anti-codon position.
Source: RNAcentral
GCUUGGUUAGCUCAGUCGGUAGAGCGUGGGACUCUUACACACGUAGGCAUCUCAAGGUCAAGGGUUCGAGCCCCUUAUCGAGCU